AGCACUUGUGUCUCUGUUGAACUGGUGGGCAAAGACUUAAGACAGGUGCAAGAGGCAAUCUGCUUUUGUAACCUAGAACUCUCUAGUCAGAAUGAGUUUUGAUGCGUGUAGCAUAGACCGG
RNAcentral lists this small nucleolar RNA (121 nucleotides) under Microtus ochrogaster (prairie vole). Its description in RNAcentral is "Small nucleolar RNA SNORA40 (ENSMOCG00000006828.1)". It matches the Rfam family "Small nucleolar RNA SNORA40". From Rfam's summary of the family: The snoRNA ACA 40 belongs to the H/ACA family of snoRNAs and guides the pseudouridylation of 28S rRNA subunit at position U4565. NB This family has a high threshold value to exclude a large number of closely related sequences that do not appear to have conserved H and ACA boxes, and may be pseudogenes. The record is from Rfam by way of RNAcentral. Lineage: Eukaryota; Metazoa; Chordata; Mammalia; Rodentia; Cricetidae.